GUGGUUGUGGCUCAGUGGUAAUGUGCUUGCCUAGCAUGCAUGAGGCACUGGGUUUGAUUCUCAGCACCACA
This 71-nucleotide transfer RNA is filed under the name Ictidomys tridecemlineatus (thirteen-lined ground squirrel). Its description in RNAcentral is "Spermophilus tridecemlineatus (thirteen-lined ground squirrel) tRNA". It matches the Rfam family "tRNA". From Rfam's summary of the family: Transfer RNA (tRNA) molecules are approximately 80 nucleotides in length. Their secondary structure includes four short double-helical elements and three loops (D, anti-codon, and T loops). The record is from Rfam by way of RNAcentral. Lineage: Eukaryota; Metazoa; Chordata; Mammalia; Rodentia; Sciuridae.